AUUGAACGCUGGCGGCAUGCCUUACACAUGCAAGUCGAACGGCAGCACGGGAGCAAUCCUGGUGGCGAGUGGCGAACGGGUGAGUAAUAUAUCGGAACGUGCCCAGUCGUGGGGGAUAACGUAGCGAAAGCUACGCUAAUACCGCAUACGAUCUAUGGAUGAAAGCGGGGGAUCGCAAGACCUCGCGCGAUUGGAGCGGCCGAUAUCAGAUUAGGUAGUUGGUGGGGUAAAAGCCCACCAAGCCGACGAUCUGUAGCUGGUCUGAGAGGACGACCAGCCACACUGGGACUGAGACACGGCCCAGACUCCUACGGGAGGCAGCAGUGGGGAAUUUUGGACAAUGGGCGCAAGCCUGAUCCAGCCAUGCCGCGUGAGUGAAGAAGGCCUCGG
This 390-nucleotide ribosomal RNA is filed under the name uncultured bacterium. RNAcentral's name for it is "bacterial SSU rRNA". It matches the Rfam family "Bacterial small subunit ribosomal RNA", at positions 29 to 420 of the family's 1533-position model. The record is from RNAcentral.